AAGAACAGAAUGAAAUGACAACUGAUAAUGAGAUAAUUGAACAUCAUGAACAGAAUGAAAACACGCAUGAUAAUAAAGUAAUAGAAGAUGAUGAACAGAAUCGUACCACAAGUGAUAAUGACGUAAUAGAAGAUAAAGAACA
Limulus polyphemus (Atlantic horseshoe crab) is the source of this 142-nucleotide long non-coding RNA. RefSeq lists it as uncharacterized. NCBI's taxonomy places the organism in Eukaryota, Metazoa, Arthropoda, Merostomata, Xiphosura, Limulidae. The record is from RefSeq and is a predicted model, not a curated record. The transcript has 2 exons.